This 254-nucleotide ribosomal RNA is filed under the name uncultured bacterium. RNAcentral's name for it is "partial 16S ribosomal RNA". It matches the Rfam family "Bacterial small subunit ribosomal RNA", at positions 524 to 777 of the family's 1533-position model. The record is from RNAcentral.
UACGGAGGGGGCUAGCGUUGUUCGGAAUUACUGGGCGUAAAGCGCGCGUAGGCGGACCUGCAAGUCGGGGGUGAAAGCCCGAGGCUCAACCUCGGAACUGCCCUUCGAUACUGAGAGUCUCGAGUCCGGGAGAGGUGAGUGGAACUGCGAGUGUAGAGGUGAAAUUCGUAGAUAUUCGCAAGAACACCAGUGGCGAAGGCGGCUCACUGGCCCGGUACUGACGCUGAGGUGCGAAAGCGUGGGAGCAAACAGGG